Long non-coding RNA from Felis catus (domestic cat), 755 nucleotides. RefSeq lists it as uncharacterized. The transcript is spliced from 2 exons. Lineage: Eukaryota; Metazoa; Chordata; Mammalia; Carnivora; Felidae. The record is from RefSeq and is a predicted model, not a curated record.
CAAAUGAAUGAGACAAGUUGUGUCUUCUGGUGACUAAAGGGUGACUGAAUGCCGGUUCCAUGCUCGGGGCCAUGGGGACAGACGGCUGGCUGAGCCGGGGGAUAGCAUGGUGGAGGGAAAGAGCACAGACACUGGAAAUGGCUGUAACAGGGACUUUCUUACGAGAACAUAGCUUCUCUUUCUGAAAGAGUCUAAGCUUCUGGAGAAAGACUAAUGAUAAUAGGAUAGCUAAUGGGAAGAGAUGGGUUUUGGUUGAGAUACAAUAUUGAAAUACAAUAUUUGAAGUGAAUACAAACACACACCUACUUUAUCAAAGAUGAGUUGUAUAAAGGCCCCAGUUCAGUAUCUGACACAGAGCAGGCUCUCAGUACAGCAAAAUCAAAUCUUGUAUAAGAUACAAUACAAAACAAUACCAUCGAGUCUCUGUCCAUAUGAAACCUAGCGUCCAGUAGGAGAGACAGACCCACUUGGAGGCUGAGAGACAGAAAGUGGCUCCCUAACAUCACACGGCUGGAGAGAAGAUGCAUGAUUUCCUGAAUAAUCUCACCUGCACUUGGAACCUGACUUGGGAAUGCACCUGCUGUGAAGGUCCAAGACUCUGCAGAUAUUCUUAUUGCCAAGGUUUAUGGGACAAGCAGAAAUGCAGGAUGGAUGAGCUACAAUUUACAAGAGUAGUAAACCCACUGUUGCACUAAAAAUACCCCUCCCAAAGAACAAUAAAUAACUUCUCCCUGAGAUGAGGGCUGUGUUCCUGA